ACCCAGGUGACAUGCUGAAGGCUAUGAUUUUGUGGGUCUUACAGCAAAAAAAUAAAGUUUCAUAGUAGAUUCAGAGGGUAAAACUAUAGUUUUCUUGCUUUCUUCAGAAAAAAACUCCAAAACUCCAUCUUCAGGGAUGAAAGCUAAGCCUAGGUGAGUGUUUCGCUGACAGAAAGUUCCAAAGUGAGUUUUUUAUGGCUCUUUUUUGUGUGUGUGUUUGGGUUUUUUUCCCCCUGUGGUUUUAAUGCACGUAACUUUGAGGUUAUUCCAUCCAUGAUUACAUUGAAGAUUCUGUUUUGCCACCUGGACAUCAAGGCUGUUUGCCUGGAGUUACAAUGCUUUGGAGUUGCUGAACAGUUUGUUUACUAGAUUGCUGCUUUGGUGUGACUUUUUUCUCAUCGUGGACUUAGUCCAAAUGCAAGGUGAGCCCGCAGCUGAUUUACAGACUGUUAAACCUCAGCUGUGAAACCUGAGCUUGCCCAGUGUGGAUUGUUCCUAAUGGGCACCAUGACUUAGUGAAAAAAUGAUGUGAAUUUGAAUUCAUCUUGGCUUGAAUUCACAUUUUUAUCCCAGACCUUUGCAGGACAGAAUUUCUUGUAGUUAAGGAGCUGGACUUCUGUAGAGCUAUUGAUUACCUUUCUUCCCUAUACAUUAAACUGUUGCUUUGGUGCUAAUUGGUCCAAGUUUGGGGUUUUUUUCCCCCCCACCUAGUACUUCACAAACAUUUUGGUCUUUAGAUGAGCAGCUCCUUUACAUGUUCUCUUGUUCCCAGUGAGAAGCCCCUAGAAGAAGAACCCAUGGAUGAGCAGAUACCAAAGAUCCUGCAACUCUCUCCUUUUCCAAGGGACGUUACCAGCAAAAAGAGAAACAGGAGAUCAAGUUUGGCCAAGAAGAGGGCUGAAGGCAGGUAUGACACACAAGCCCUGUGCCCAUGCAGGGACUGGUGUACCAAAUCAUUUUAGACCUUUUCUAGCACUCAGGGAGCAAGAGUGUCCCCAUGGGGGGUGGCCUGACUGUGCCUAGAGCAGGUAGAAAAACAAAAUGAGGCUAUGAAGGGUCAAAACUUGUCUCUGUAGGACCCUUUGGGUCCCCAAAGUGAUAAAGAUCUCAAAAACUAACCCUAGCCUGCUAAAAAUGCCCUCUACUCCUGUGAUACUAUGUCAUGGCAUGUUGGCUUUUUACUUGCCCAACCAUAAUCCUCCAGUGAGCUGAGUUCUGAACACUACCUUCUUUCACAAAUAUUUAAGUAAUGUUGUGCCAGUUCCUUGAUAUCAUGUUUCC
RNAcentral lists this long non-coding RNA (1281 nucleotides) under Zonotrichia albicollis (white-throated sparrow). RNAcentral's name for it is "lncRNA (ENSZALG00000001044.1)". Lineage: Eukaryota; Metazoa; Chordata; Aves; Passeriformes; Passerellidae. The record is from RNAcentral.